CUAUUAUGAAAAGUAGUUUACCAAAUUGAUUGGGAAUAUGAAGGGAACAACGAUCAGGGCUUGGGGCGAUCUGGAGUGGAGGUAUGAAUAAAACGAAUUCAGAAUAUAAAUUCGAAAGAAGCUGCUGCGUUAGGUUGUAUUUCUGAACAAGCUUCAUGGCACGCCAACUACAAACAUUCUGCUUACGUCUUUCUCGGAGGCAUUCCCUUUGAUCUCACUCAAGCCGAUCUUCUUGCUGUUUUUGCACAAUAUGGAGAGAUUGUUGAUGUUAAUCUUGUCAGAGAUGAAGGCACUGGUAAAUAAAAAGGUUUUGCUUUCAUUGCAUAUGAGGAUCAAAGAAAUACAAAUCUUGCUGUUGACAAUCUGAAUGGAGCUCAAGUUCUCGGUCAAAUCAUUAGGGUUGAUCAUGUUACUAACUAUAAAAAGAAAGAAGAAGAAGAUGAAGAAAUAGAGCGGCAAAAGAUGGAAGCACAAGGAGUGUGCCGUGUUUUUCAAAGAGGCGAAUGUAACCGUGGAGCUGGAUGCAAAUUUUCCCAUGAUGAACAACAACUAAGACAAUUGUAUUAGAGAACAUGUCGAGGGGGCAGAACCUUUCUACAAUCAAGGAAAAAGAAAAAGGAAAAUAGAAGAUGCCAGAGAUGGUUCCAAAAACCCUACAUCAAACCAUAGAAAACCACCCCCAACUGCAAGUUAUAUCAAUAAAGUUCUAACUUCUCGAAUGGUUCCUUCUUGGGGUCUGACAUAGAUUUUCAUUUAGCUUCACCAGCUUUACCAAUUAUCACCACAGAAGUAAAAAUACAUCUCCUCUCCUAAAACUUCUUAAAAUCUUCCAUAAAGACAAAGAAAACACUGACAGACUUUCUUGGGUUUCUCACAAAAUGUCCCAGCCAAUGGCCCAUGUUCAUCGAUAUUCUAUCAACUCUAACCCAUUCCCUUACCUUUGGCCAUUUGAGUGAAUUAAUCUUAUGUCAACUAAAUUUCUUCGAUAGCCAGUGUGGGAUGAUUCAUAAUUUUUUAUGUAAAUGUCAUGUUGUUGUUGGGAUUUUGGAAGGCUUAGCUUUAGAUUGUCUUCCUAUUCAUGAUUGCCACAUUACCAGUAAUUGUGAAUGAAAUCUUUCUAUUUUGUUAUAAUCUGAUUGCAUGAAUCAUUAACUAUUGUGGCAUGUACAUGACAUGAGACGUGAUGGUUGCUUCAUAUUUUUGUUCUCAAUAGAUUUUUAACUAUAUUUCUGUAUUUCAUGUGUAAAAGAUCAUUUCCCAUUGUUUGGGGAAUGUAUACUAUUCCCAGGGUGUCAAACAAAAAUGAUAAUUGUGCGUAUAUGCCUACAUACGUACGUACAUGCAAAUGUAUUUAGGUGUCAACUGUUAUGCAACUUUAAUUCCAAAUUGGACCCUAUCAAUACCUAAUUGGUAAAGAAACUUUUGCCCUUUGUGGAUACAAUUGUACAUGUGUUAGUAGUUUAAACAAUCUGUGUGUUUGUAAUGCCCGAAUGCAUCUGCAUCUCAAUGCCAACCCAGUGAUCUGGGUUAUUCAACUAUGAUUGAUUACUCAAUAGUUCAAUUAAAAAAUUCUUAUGGAUCUUACACGUAAUUGUUGAAGCAUGUGUGAAGGUAGAGUCACACAUUGGAUAAAAAUUAAAAGAGAUAGGUCUUAAUAUACAUAAGAUAGGCUCUCCACUUAUAGGCUUGAGCUUUUAAGUGGGUAUAAGUUCCAAAUAAUGUGUGUCAGGCCUUGAUGUGUUAUUUGUGGACUCUAGAGUUUCUUCUUAAUGGAUUGGGCCGGUAUUGUUGUGUGCUUAUGGGCUCUUGGUAUCAGAGCUAAUGGCAGACGAUCAAUGGGCGGACUCUCCUGGAGCAUCGAUGUUGGUGGACUUGGGCUUGCAUGGAGACUCUCAAUGGAGCAAGAAAAAUACAUGAUUAACUCUUGAUGGAGCAAAGAAAAUUCUUGGUACACGUGGAAAGGUUGGACUGCGAUAAGGUGGUUCUCAAUGGAGUAUGGUGAAUCAUGAUGGAGUGUGUGCGGAUGGCCCAAGUUAGACUCAAUGUUGGAGAGUUAUAGAUCAAGAUUAAGGGGGAGUGUGAAAUGAUCUACGAUGAACUUACUGAUAAUAGAUCAAGAUUUGAGGGGGAGUUAGGAGAUGACCGAUGUUUGGUUCACACAUGAUGGGGAGCAUGUGUGAAGGUAGAGUCCCACAUCAAAUGAAAAAUAAAAGAGAUAGGUCUUAAUAUACAUAAGAUAGGCUCACCACUUAGAGGCUUAAGCUUUUAAGUGGGUAUGAGUUCCAAAUGGAUUUUUUUUUUUAAAGUUGAAAUAAAUUGAUUUAUUUUUUUUCAGGUAAUUUGCAUUACUUAUUGUUCUUAUGUAAAAAAAUUAUUAUUUUAUCUUUUCUCAAUCAUAUAUUAUUCUCAAAUUUUAAUUUUUAUCUUUGAGACAUUAAACUUCUAGUCGAUACAUAUUAAAAAAAAAAAAAACACACAUUAA
Molecule: RNA transcript, 2482 nt
Organism: Camellia sinensis
Lineage: Eukaryota; Viridiplantae; Streptophyta; Magnoliopsida; Ericales; Theaceae
Gene name: putative LRR receptor-like serine/threonine-protein kinase At3g47570
Source: RefSeq, a predicted model, not a curated record